Molecule: long non-coding RNA, 329 nt
Organism: Mustela lutreola (European mink)
Lineage: Eukaryota; Metazoa; Chordata; Mammalia; Carnivora; Mustelidae
Exons: 4
Source: RefSeq, a predicted model, not a curated record
GGGGAAAGACAUCAUGGAGGAGUUAAGGUUUCACCAGCCCUUGAGAUCGCUGAAUCACUCAUAUCCUACAAAUCAUCUUUGUGUUCUAGCUGAUUGCUCAUUCUGAGAGAAGCCAAUCCCAUGUUGUGAGGAUAGAAGAGACCCGUGUUGAAAAGCCUUCAAGAUGGGAAAGAAUUAAAGCUUACAGUCAACAACUGGCACCAAAUAAGAUAUAGCAGUGAUUAAAAAGCAAUGACCAAGAAUGAGAAUAUUUCCUUAAAAGAGGAUGGAUAAUUAUAAUCCUAUAAAGACUUAUGGCAAGUAUUUUUCAUUGGCUUAGUACUACUUUC